RNAcentral lists this transfer RNA (72 nucleotides) under Heterocephalus glaber (naked mole-rat). It matches the Rfam family "tRNA". Rfam says of the family: Transfer RNA (tRNA) molecules are approximately 80 nucleotides in length. Their secondary structure includes four short double-helical elements and three loops (D, anti-codon, and T loops). Lineage: Eukaryota; Metazoa; Chordata; Mammalia; Rodentia; Bathyergidae. The record is from Rfam by way of RNAcentral.
UGGGGUGUAGCUCAGUAGUAGAGAGCUUACCUAGUAUGCAUAAGGCCCUGGGUUCAGUCCCUAGCACUGCAA